AGUGAACGCUGGCGGUAGGCCUAACACAUGCAAGUCGAACGGCAGCACAGUAAGAGCUUGCUCUUACGGGUGGCGAGUGGCGGACGGGUGAGGAAUACAUCGGAAUCUACUUUUUCGUGGGGGAUAACGUAGGGAAACUUACGCUAAUACCGCAUACGACCUACGGGUGAAAGCAGGGGAUCUUCGGACCUUGCGCGAUUGAAUGAGCCGAUGUCGGGUUAGCUAGUUGGCGGGGUAAAGGCCCACCAAGGCGACGAUCCGUAGCUGGUCUGAGAGGAUGAGCCGCCACGAGAGAACAGACACGCGGUCCAGACCUCUGGGAGGGGCAAGAGGGGGGAAUAAUGGAAAAGGGGCGAAAGUCUCAUCAAGCCAUAGCGCGUGGGUGAAGAAGGCCGUGGGGGUGUAAAGCCCUUUUGUGGGGAAAAAAAAGGAGCAGGUUAAUACCCCGCUGUUGAGGGUGUCCCCAAAGAAGAAGCAGGGGAAAAAUGUG
RNAcentral lists this ribosomal RNA (490 nucleotides) under uncultured bacterium. Its description in RNAcentral is "partial 16S ribosomal RNA". It matches the Rfam family "Bacterial small subunit ribosomal RNA", at positions 30 to 505 of the family's 1533-position model. The record is from RNAcentral.